GGGAGCCAUACGUUGGAGUCUAGGGAGAGCGUAGAUGUCCCAAAGGAGAUCCAGAAGCUCCUAAUCCAGUGGCACAGGGAGAUGUCAAUAUCCAUGUGUAGCAGAGCGAGGUUCUUAACCUUAGCUUUAGGACACACAGGCAAGAGUCCUCCAACAAGUCCCCGCCAACCGCUGGACAGACCCAGAUCACGGACACAUGAAGACAAGACAAGACAGCGAUGGGCAGCGCUGGUGCUACUGCUGUAGAGCCGGAAGCUCCUAAUCCAGUGGCACAGGGAGAUGUCAAUAUCCAUGUGUAUCAGAGCGAGGUUCUUAACCUUAGCUUUAGGACACACAGGUAAGUUCCAUUGAUGAAGGGCACAAGUGUUCC
RNAcentral lists this long non-coding RNA (370 nucleotides) under Neogobius melanostomus (round goby). Its description in RNAcentral is "lncRNA (ENSNMLG00000016866.1)". The record is from RNAcentral. Lineage: Eukaryota; Metazoa; Chordata; Actinopteri; Gobiiformes; Gobiidae.